This 726-nucleotide ribosomal RNA is filed under the name uncultured Staphylococcus sp. RNAcentral describes it as "bacterial SSU rRNA". It matches the Rfam family "Bacterial small subunit ribosomal RNA", at positions 59 to 767 of the family's 1533-position model. Lineage: Bacteria; Bacillati; Bacillota; Bacilli; Caryophanales; Staphylococcaceae. The record is from RNAcentral.
AAGUCGAGCGAACGGACGAGAAGCUUGCUUCUCUGAUGUUAGCGGCGGACGGGUGAGUAACACGUGGAUAACCUACCUAUAAGACUGGGAUAACUUCGGGAAACCCCAGCUAAUACCGGAUAAUAUUUUGAACCGCAUGGUUCAAAAGUGAAAGACGGUCUUGCUGUCACUUAUAGAUGGAUCCGCGCUGCAUUAGCUAGUUGGUAAGGUAACGGCUUACCAAGGCAACGAUGCAUAGCCGACCUGAGAGGGUGAUCGGCCACACUGGAACUGAGACACGGUCCAGACUCCUACGGGAGGCAGCAGUAGGGAAUCUUCCGCAAUGGGCGAAAGCCUGACGGAGCAACGCCGCGUGAGUGAUGAAGGUCUUCGGAUCGUAAAACUCUGUUAUUAGGGAAGAACAUAUGUGUAAGUAACUGUGCACAUCUUGACGGUACCUAAUCAGAAAGCCACGGCUAACUACGUGCCAGCAGCCGCGGUAAUACGUAGGUGGCAAGCGUUAUCCGGAAUUAUUGGGCGUAAAGCGCGCGUAGGCGGUUUUUUAAGUCUGAUGUGAAAGCCCACGGCUCAACCGUGGAGGGUCAUUGGAAACUGGAAAACUUGAGUGCAGAAGAGGAAAGUGGAAUUCCAUGUGUAGCGGUGAAAUGCGCAGAGAUAUGGAGGAACACCAGUGGCGAAGGCGACUUUCUGGUCUGUAACUGACGCUGAUGUGCGAAAGCGUGGGGA